Molecule: ribosomal RNA, 869 nt
Filed under: uncultured Actinomycetes bacterium
Lineage: Bacteria; Bacillati; Actinomycetota; Actinomycetes
Description: bacterial SSU rRNA
Rfam family: Bacterial small subunit ribosomal RNA
Source: RNAcentral
CCGUUGCGGGUCUUACCAUGCAGUCGACGAGAUCCAUGGUGUAGCAAUACACCGGAAGAUCUAGUGGCGAACGGGUGAGGAACACGUGGGAAACCUGCCCCAGACUUUGGGAUAACAAGUGGAAACGCUUGCUAAUACCGAAUGACGUCGGAGAACCGCAUGGUUCACUGACGAAAGGAAUUCCGGUUUGGGAGGGUCUCGCGGCCUAUCAGCUUGUUGGUGGGGUAAUGGCCUACCAAGGCAACGACAGGUAGCUGGUCUGAGAGGAUGAUCAGCCACACUGGGACUGAGACACGGCCCAGACUCCUACGGGAGGCAGCAGUGGGGAAUCUUGCGCAAUGGGCGAAAGCCUGACGCAGCAACGCCGCGUGCGGGAUGAAGGCCUUCGGGCUGUAAACCGCUUUCAGCAGGAACGAAAAUGACGGUACCUGCAGAAGAAGGAGCGGCCAACUACGUGCCAGCAGCCGCGGUGACACGUAGGCUCCAAGCGUUGUCCGGAUUUAUUGGGCGUAAAGAGCUCGUAGGCGGUUGAGUAAGUCGGGUGUGAAAACUCUGGGCUUAACCCGGAGACGCCAUCCGAUACUGCUCUGACUUGAGUUCAGGAGGGGAGUGGGGAAUUCCUAGUGUAGCGGUGAAAUGCGCAGAUAUUAGGAGGAACACCGGUGGCGAAGGCGCCACUCUGGACUGAAACUGACGCUGAGGAGCGAAAGCAUGGGUAGCAAACAGGAUUAGAUACCCUGGUAGUCCAUGCCGUAAACGGUGGGCACUAGGUGUGGGUUCCAACUAACGGGAUCCGCGCCGUCGCUAACGCAUUAAGUGCCCCGCCUGGGGAGUACGGUCGCAAGACUAAAACUCAAAGGAAUUGACGG